RNAcentral lists this long non-coding RNA (1061 nucleotides) under Lonchura striata (white-rumped munia). RNAcentral describes it as "domestica (Bengalese finch) lncRNA (ENSLSDG00000001924.1)". The record is from RNAcentral. Lineage: Eukaryota; Metazoa; Chordata; Aves; Passeriformes; Estrildidae.
CUUGCCCAGCUCAUCGAUCACCGUCCUCAGGCGCUGCUCCAGCUGCUGCUCCCUGCGGGGGAGACGAGAGAGCCGAGGGGGCACCGCUGUCCCCUCAUCAAAUCCCUCAAAACUCUCAUAAAAUCCCUCAAAAACCCUCAUCAAAACCCUCACAAAAUCCCUCAUCAAAUCCCUCAAAAACCCUCAUCAAAUCCCUCAAAAACCCUCAUCAAAACCCUCAAAAACCCUCAUCAAAACCCUCAAAAACCCUCAAAAACCCUCACAAAAUCCAUCAAAAACUCCUCAUCAAAUCCCUCAAAAACCCUCAUCAAAUCCCUCAAAAACCCUCAUCAAAUCCCUCAAAAACCCUCAAAAACCCUCAUCAAAACCCUCAAAAACCCUCAAAAACCCUCAUCAAAACCCCUCAUCAAAACCCUCAAAAACCCUCAUAAAAACCCUCAUCAAAUCCCUCAAAAACUCCUCAUCAAAUCCCACAAAACCCUCAUCAAAACCCUCAAAAACCCCUCAAAAACCCUCAUCAAAUCCCUCAAAAACCCUCAUCAAAUCCCUCAAAAACCCUCAUCAAAAACCCCUCAAAAACCCUCAUCAAAACCCUCAAAAACCCUCAUCAAAACCCUCACAAAAUCCCUCAAAAACUCCUCAUCAAAUCCCUCAAAAACCCUCAUCAAAACCCUCAAAAACCCCUCAUCAAAUCCCUCAAAAACCCUCAUCAAAACCCUCAAAAACCCUCAUAAAAACCCUCAUAAAAACCCUCAAAAACCCUCAUCAAAACCCUCAUCAAAUCCCUCAAAAACCCUCAUCAAAACCCUCAUCAAAUCCCUCAAAACACCUCAUCAAAACCCUCAAAAACCCUCAAAAACCCUCAUCAAAACCCUCAUCAAAUCCCUCAAAAACUCCUCAUCAAAUCCCACAAAACCCUCAUCAAAACCCUCAAAAACCCUCAUCAAAACCCUCAAAAACCCUCAUCAAAUCCAUCACAAAAUCCAUCAAAAACUCCUCAUCAAAUCCAUCAAAAACCCCUCAAAAACCCUCAUCAAACCCCUCAAAAACCCUCACAAACC